Molecule: ribosomal RNA, 497 nt
Filed under: uncultured bacterium
Lineage: Bacteria
Description: partial 16S ribosomal RNA
Rfam family: Bacterial small subunit ribosomal RNA
Source: RNAcentral
GAUGAACGCUGGCGGCGUGCCUAAUACAUGCAAGUCGAGCGAACGGACGAGAAGCUUGCUUCUCUGAUGUUAGCGGCGGACGGGUGAGUAACACGUGGAUAACCUACCUAUAAGACUGGGAUAACUUCGGGAAACCGUAGCUAAUACCGGAUAAUAUUUUGAACCGCAUGGUUCAAAAGUGAAAGACGGUCUUGCUGUCACUUAUAGAUGGAUCCGCGCUGCAUUAGCUAGUUGGUAAGAUAACGGCUUACCAAGGCAACGAUGCAUAGCCGACCUGAGAGGGUGAUCGGCCACACUGGAACUGAGACACGGUCCAGACUCCUACGGGAGGCAGCAGUAGGGAAUCUUCCGCAAUGGGCGAAAGCCUGACGGAGCAACGCCGCGUGAGUGAUGAAGGUCUUCGGAUCGUAAAACUCUGUUAUUAGGGAAGAACAUAUGUGUAAGUAACUGUGCACAUCUUGACGGUACCUAAUCAGAAAGCCACGGCUAACUACGUG